This 651-nucleotide long non-coding RNA is filed under the name Scophthalmus maximus (turbot). Its description in RNAcentral is "lncRNA (ENSSMAG00000029589.1)". The record is from RNAcentral. Lineage: Eukaryota; Metazoa; Chordata; Actinopteri; Pleuronectiformes; Scophthalmidae.
AUGGAUACAGCCAGCGACUCCGUCGGGGAGAGUAAGCCGGUGUGUCAGUGUGCCCCCAAGUCUGCGGUCCGGCGGUGGUUGCCAGGUUUCCCCAUCGCCUUGUGCCUGCUCAUGUCCCUGAGCUCCAUCACCGUGUGUCUCCUGAUGAGCCUCAAGACCUUCCAGCUGGAGAACCGACUGCAGAUGGAGAUGGACAAAGCGUCCGUCUUCAGCCCGCCGCACGGGGCUUUUCUAAAGGAGGACGGGACCCUGAUCCCGGAGCUGAGCCGGUCAAUAGGGAAGCUCGUGGAAGAGAAAGUGGUGGUGCUGAUGCCAAAAAUGAGGACAGCGAGGGAUGUUGGACAGCAAGAGUGCUCCUGCCCUCCAGGGCCUCCGGGAAAGCGUGGAAGGAUGGGAAGAAGAGGGGAACCUGGACCUCACCAGGGCAAGGCUGGACGGGAUGGAUACCCGGUAAAUUUGAUUUGUUAUUUAUCAUGUCACUCUUCAAUUCACCCAAUCAUGGUACUAUUCUCCCUUCAGUUGUUUUCCAACUCUUCUCACACCUAUAUAAGGCCUCUGUGUUUUUCCUACCCUGCUCUUUUUAAAGAAAUUACCUUUAGAGUAAUCGCUGCCUGUUUUCUUGCCUCUUCAACACUUGUUCUUCAUCAAUGA